This is a long non-coding RNA of Boleophthalmus pectinirostris (great blue-spotted mudskipper), 248 nucleotides long. RefSeq lists it as uncharacterized. The transcript is spliced from 3 exons. NCBI's taxonomy places the organism in Eukaryota, Metazoa, Chordata, Actinopteri, Gobiiformes, Gobiidae. The record is from RefSeq and is a predicted model, not a curated record.
CCAAAUAAAUCAACCUUAACGUUUUGUUCAGCCUAGACCCACACACAGACUGGCUUGCUUUUUUAUUAAAGAUGGCUGACCGAGAGAGAGAGAGAGAGAGAGUGAGGUUGGAGACUCCUGCCCUACUCUCUGGGAAAACGAAGUAAAACGGCCACAAGACGUGAUGCUUCUGAGGAAGAAUACAGGAAGUAGCUAAUGUAAAGCAGAUUAAAAUCCUGUCUCUAAAAUGGAGCCAGUAUUCUUCUAAC